RNAcentral lists this ribosomal RNA (804 nucleotides) under uncultured Sclerocystis. Its description in RNAcentral is "SSU rRNA". It matches the Rfam family "Eukaryotic small subunit ribosomal RNA", at positions 314 to 1116 of the family's 1831-position model. The record is from RNAcentral. Lineage: Eukaryota; Fungi; Glomeromycota; Glomeromycetes; Glomerales; Glomeraceae.
AUCAACUUUCGAUGGUAGGAUAGAGGCCUACCAUGGUGGUAACGGGUAACGGGGUGUUAGGGCACGACACCGGAGAGGGAGCCUGAGAAACGGCUACCACAUCCAAGGAUGGCAGCAGGCGCGCAAAUUACCCAAUCCCGACACGGGGAGGUAGUGACAAUAAAUAACAAUACGGGGUUCUUUCGGAUCUCGUAAUUGGAAUGAGUACAAUUUAAAUCUCUUAACGAGGAACAAUUGGAGGGCAAGUCUGGUGCCAGCAGCCGCGGUAAUUCCAGCUCCAAUAGCGUAUAUUAAAGUUGUUGCAGUUAAAAAGCUCGUAGUUGAAUUUCGGGGUCAGCAGGUUGGUCGUGCCAAUGGUAUGAACUGGCCUUGCUGAUUCCUCCCUCUUGAUGAGCCGUAAUGUCAUUAAUUUGGUGUUGCGGGGAAUCAGGACUGUUACUUUGAAAAAAUUAGAGUGUUUAAAGCAGGCAAGCGCUUGAAUACAUUAGCAUGGAAUAAUGAAAUAGGACGUUUGAUCCUAUUUUGUUGGUUUCAAGGAUUGACGUAAUGAUUAAUAGGGAUAGUUGGGGGCAUUAGUACUCAAUUGUCAGAGGUGAAAUUCUUGGAUUUAUUGAAGACUAACUACUGCGAAAGCAUUUGCCAAGGAUGUUUUCAUUAAUCAAGAACGAAAGUUAGGGGAUCGAAGACGAUCAGAUACCGUCGUAGUCUUAACCAUAAACUAUGCCGACUAGGGAUCGGAUGAUGUUAAUUUUUUAAUGACACAUUCGGCGCCUUACGGGAAACCAAAGUGUUUGGGUUAAAUCA